GAAGGCUGAAAUUCGCCUUCAUGAAGCCGGAAUUGCUAGUAAUGGCAGGUCAGCAUACUGCCGUGAAUACGUUCCCGGGCCUUGUACACACCGCCCGUCACACCAUGAGAGUUGGGAAUACCCGAAGCCUGUGAGCUAACGUUAAGAGGCAGCAGUCGAAGGUAGAAUCAAUGAUUGGGGUGAAGUCGUAACAAGGUAUC
This 200-nucleotide ribosomal RNA is filed under the name uncultured bacterium. Its description in RNAcentral is "partial 16S ribosomal RNA". It matches the Rfam family "Bacterial small subunit ribosomal RNA", at positions 1300 to 1500 of the family's 1533-position model. The record is from RNAcentral.